This is a long non-coding RNA of Bos indicus x Bos taurus (hybrid cattle), 1322 nucleotides long. The record is from Ensembl. Lineage: Eukaryota; Metazoa; Chordata; Mammalia; Artiodactyla; Bovidae.
UGCAGUAGUUUCUGAUAUUUUUUCUCUGAAUGCAUAUAUUUUCCCACUGUUUUUGUUUUUAGAUCUCACAGUGAAAUCAAGCAAGGAGGCAGUUGAUAUUGUUGGGAGGAUUGCAGAUGAAAAGGAGAGCAUCACAGUUCCAGUUAGGAUGAAGGUUCUCAGCUACAAUGAAAAGGGUGAACACAUGCCCAACCUUGGCCUUGGCUUAGAGACGGCACAGGAACAGCAGUAUGUGACUGUGAUUCCCAAGGCUGCACACAGAUUCCUUUGUGGAAAGGACAAUUUGGCUGAGAAAAGAGGCAGAGGUCCAGUUUGGAGAUUAUCACAAGAGUCUAUGAAUAGAAUGAAAACUGCAAUAGAAGAGUCCAAUGAGAAAUAUGGAUUAGUAUUUCUGUAUUUCUGUCUCUGCUUUUCCAGGAUGGGAAAUUUACCUUAAAGAAAGCCUGAGUGUUGGGAUUCAAGGGGAGAAAAUUUAUCUGCACUUCUUGAAAAAGACACCAGAUAUGACCUCAUUUCUCAACAUUCUUCUCUAAAGGCAAAAACAGGAAUGGUAUAGAAUUUGCAGAUAACACAAAAUCCAAGUCCUAUAUCUGGGCAUAAGUGAGGAUUACUAAGGGAUAGAAAUUCUACAGGAUGGUCUGCAGAAUCAUUGCCAAAUGCCCGUGAACUUGUAUGAGCAAGUGUAUUCAUUUCCCUGCUACUGCUGAAACAAAUGACCACAACCUGGAUGGCUUAAAACAACAGAAAGGUAUUGUUUUACGGUUCUGGAGGCUAAAAUCUGAACUCAAGGAGUUGGCAGGGCCAUGCUUUCUCUGAAGACUCUGGGAAAUGAUUCUUUGUUGCCCCACCCAGUGAUUGCCAGUCAUCCUUAUCAUUCAUUUCUUGGCUUGGCUUAUGGCCUCUUAACUCCAAUCUCUGUCUCCACCUGCCAUCCUCCUUCUGAGUCUUCUGUCUCUGUCUGGGGGACAAAAGUCAGACUGGAUUUAGGACCCAAUGCAGUAUGACCUCAUCUUGAUUACAUACAUAGGGACACCAUCCAAAUAAGAUCACAUUCACAAUUGCAUCUAGAAGACACCACUCAAUGCAUAUGAAGGACUAACUGAUACACAGAAAGGUGAAUUCAGGCUCCUUGUCACCCAACGUACCUGCAAGCUAAUCUCAUAAAAGGCCAGCACACAAAGGGCUGGAGAUCUGAAGUCAUGUGGACAGUUGGACAUAGUCAAACAUAAGUAAAAAUAACUAGAUCCUAUUUUCAACCAAAAAUCCUACAAUUCAUUCCUGAACUCUUUGUGUAUCAAUAAAUGCAUGCCCUAUUUUAUUCA